Molecule: ribosomal RNA, 497 nt
Filed under: uncultured bacterium
Lineage: Bacteria
Description: partial 16S ribosomal RNA
Rfam family: Bacterial small subunit ribosomal RNA
Source: RNAcentral
GAUGAACGCUGGCGGCGUGCCUAAUACAUGCAAGUCGAGCGAGCAGACGAGGAGCUUGCUCCUCUGACGUUAGCAGCGGACGGGUGAGUAACACGUGGAUAACCUACCUAUAAGACUGGGAUAACUUCGGGAAACCGGAGCUAAUACCGGAUAAUAUAUUGAACCGCAUGGUUCAAUAGUGAAAGACGGUUUUGCUGUCACUUAUAGAUGGAUCCGCGCCGCAUUAGCUAGUUGGUAAGGUAACGGCUUACCAAGGCAACGAUGCGUAGCCGACCUGAGAGGGUGAUCGGCCACACUGGAACUGAGACACGGUCCAGACUCCUACGGGAGGCAGCAGUAGGGAAUCUUCCGCAAUGGGCGAAAGCUUGACGGAGCAACGCCGCGUGAGUGAUGAAGGUCUUCGGAUCGUAAAACUCUGUUAUUAGGGAAGAACAAAUGUGUAAGUAACUAUGCACGUCUUGACGGUACCUAAUCAGAAAGCCACGGCUAACUACGUG